This 1774-nucleotide ribosomal RNA is filed under the name Meloidogyne arenaria. RNAcentral describes it as "SSU rRNA". It matches the Rfam family "Eukaryotic small subunit ribosomal RNA". The record is from RNAcentral. Lineage: Eukaryota; Metazoa; Nematoda; Chromadorea; Rhabditida; Meloidogynidae.
UCUGGUUGAUCCUGCCUGAACUGAUGUGUUUAUUUCAAAGAUUAAGCCAUGCAUGUAUAAGUUUAAUCGUUUAUCGAGAAACCGCGAACGGCUCAUUACAAUGGCCAUUAUUUACUUGAUCUUGAUUGUCUAAAUGGAUAACUGUGGAAAAGCUAGAGCUAAUACAUGCACUAAAGCUUUGUCCUUACGGAAAAGCGCAUUUAUUAGAACAAAACCACGCGGCUUCGGCUGCUUCUUGUUGACUCAGAAUAACUUAGCUGACCGCAUGGCCUUGUGCCGGCGGCGUGUCUUUCAAGCGUCCACUUUAUCAACUUGACGGGAGCAUAAUCGACUCCCGUGGUGGUGACGGAUAACGGAGGAUCAGGGUUCGACUCCGGAGAAGGGGCCUGAGAAAUGGCCACUACGUCUAAGGAUGGCAGCAGGCGCGCAAAUUACCCACUCUCGGCUCCAGGAGGUAGUGACGAGAAAUAACGAGACUGUUCUCUUUGAGGCCGGUCAUCGGAAUGGGUACAAUUUAAACCCUUUAACGAGUAUCAAGCAGAGGGCAAGUCUGGUGCCAGCAGCCGCGGUAAUUCCAGCUCUGCAAAUACAUAGAAUUAUUGCUGCGGUUAGAAAGCUCAUAGUUGGAUUCGUAUCGAUACCUUGGAACCCUUCGGGUGUCUCUAGGUGUUAUCGAUUUAUCGUAAUGUUCGGUUUUGAGUCCUUAACAGGAUUCUUAACAGGCAUUGCAAGUUUACUUUGAACAAAUCAGAGUGCUUCAAACAGGCGUUUUCGCUUGAAUGAUCGUGCAUGGAAUAAUAGAAAAUGAUUUCGGUUCAGUUUUAUUGGUUUUACGGACUGAGAUAAUGGUUAACAGAGACAAACGGGGCAUUUGUAUGGUCCCGUGAGAGGUGAAAUUCUUGGACCGUGGCCAGACAAACUACAGCGAAAGCAUUUGCCAAGAAUGUUUUUAUUAAUCAAGAACGAAAGUCAGAGGUUCGAAGGCGAUCAGAUACCGCCCUAGUUCUGACCGUAAACGAUGCCAACUAGCGAUCCGCCGAUGGAAAUUAUAUUGCCUUGGUGGGGAGCUUCCCGGAAACGAAAGUCUUCCGGUUCCGGGGGAAGUAUGGUUGCAAAGCUGAAACUUAAAGGAAUUGACGGAAGGGCACCACCAGGAGUGGAGCCUGCGGCUUAAUUUGACUCAACACGGGGAAACUCACCCGGCCGGACACUGUGAGGAUUGACAGAUUGAUAGCUUUUUCAUGAUUCAGUGGAUGGUGGUGCAUGGCCGUUCUUAGUUCGUGGAGUGAUUUGUCUGGUUUAUUCCGAUAACGAGCGAGACUCUAACCUACUAAAUAGUUGGUACAUACUCUUAGUGUAUACAGCUUCUUAGAGGGAUUUGCGGCGUUCAGCCGAAAGAAAUUGAGCAAUAACAGGUCUGUGAUGCCUUAGAUGUCCGGGGCUGCACGCGCGCUACACUGGCAAAAUCAACGUGCUUGUCCUACCCUGAAAGGGGCGGGUAAACCAUUGAAAAUUUGCCGUGAUUGGGAUCGGAAAUUGCAAUUAUUUUCCGUGAACGAGGAAUUCCAAGUAAGUGCGAGUCAUCAGCUCGCGUUGAUUACGUCCCUGCCCUUUGUACACACCGCCCGUCGCUGCCCGGGACUGAGCCAUUUCGAGAAAUUUGGGGACCGUUGAUUUAAUUUUUCUAAAUUACUUUGAUGGAAACCAAUUUAAUCGCAGUGGCUUGAACCGGGCAAAAGUCGUAACAAGGUAGCUGUAGGUGAACCUGCUGCUG